Molecule: ribosomal RNA, 805 nt
Filed under: uncultured Sulfurimonas sp.
Lineage: Bacteria; Pseudomonadati; Campylobacterota; Epsilonproteobacteria; Campylobacterales; Sulfurimonadaceae
Description: bacterial SSU rRNA
Rfam family: Bacterial small subunit ribosomal RNA
Source: RNAcentral
UACGGAGGGGACAAGCGUUAUUCGGAAUCACUGGGCGUAAAGGACGCGUAGGCGGGUUAUUAAGUCGGGUGUGAAAUCCAAUGGCUCAACCAUUGAACUGCAUUCGAAACUGGUAACCUAGAGUAUGGAAGGGGCAGGUGGAAUUAGUGGUGUAGGGGUAAAAUCCGUAGAUAUCACUAGGAAUACCGAAAGCGAAGGCGACCUGCUGGGACAUUACUGACGCUGAGGCGUGAAAGCGUGGGGAGCAAACAGGAUUAGAUACCCUGGUAGUCCACGCCCUAAACGAUGAAUGCUAGUCGUCGGGGAGCUCGUCUCUUCGGUGAUGCACUUAACAGAUUAAGCAUUCCGCCUGGGGAGUACGGUCGCAAGAUUAAAACUCAAAGGAAUAGACGGGGACCCGCACAAGUGGUGGAGCAUGUGGUUUAAUUCGAAGAUACGCGAAGAACCUUACCUAGCCUUGACAUUGAUAGAAUCUUUCAGAGAUGAGAGAGUGCCUUUCGGGGAACUUGAAAACAGGUGCUGCACGGCUGUCGUCAGCUCGUGUCGUGAGAUGUUGGGUUAAGUCCCGCAACGAGCGCAACCCUCGUCGUUAGUUGCUAACAGUUCGGCUGAGCACUCUAGCGAGACUGCCUUCGCAAGGAGGAGGAAGGUGAGGACGACGUCAAGUCAUCAUGGCCCUUAUGGCUAGGGCUACACACGUGCUACAAUGGGGCGUACAGAGAGUUGCAAUACCGCGAGGUGGAGCCAAUCUCACAAAGCGUCUCUCAGUUCGGAUUGUUCUCUGCAACUCGAGAACAUGAAGCUG